GUCAGUCAGUCAGUCUUUUACAUUUAUCGUACAUGCAAAGUGUAUAUACUAAGUGAAGUGAAAUAAAAAAUGUAUUCCAGCGUGAAAGAAGAUGCGAAGAAGAAACAGUAGAAACGUGUGCAACUAGUGAAAAGCAUACCGAACUAAACUUAACGCACUACAGAAGCGAACUUGUUUAACUAGCUGUUUCCCAAUUUCAACCACAUUGGCACUGAGUGUAACACAUACGUGAAUGCGCACCAGUUCCUGUGAUUGAAGUAGGGAAACGGCCACUGUCUACGAUUCUUAAAAAGAUUUGUUGAAAAUGGGAAUUAAAUAAAAGAAAAUUUAAGCUAAUAUAAACCUAUUUUGUGAAUAGUUCAAAUAUUAUAUUUGACAAUUUUUAAUUAGCAUAAUAUGAGAUUAAACGUCGUUUGUAAUCACA
This is a non-coding RNA of Styela clava, 424 nucleotides long. Lineage: Eukaryota; Metazoa; Chordata; Ascidiacea; Stolidobranchia; Styelidae. The record is from RefSeq and is a predicted model, not a curated record.